GAUGAACGCUGGCGGCGUGCCUAAUACAUGCAAGUCGAGCGAACGGACGAGAAGCUUGCUUCUCUGAUGUUAGCGGCGGACGGGUGAGUAACACGUGGAUAACCUACCUAUAAGACUGGGAUAACUUCGGGAAACCGGAGCUAAUACCGGAUAAUAUUUUGAACCGCAUGGUUCAACAGUGAAAGACGGUCUUGCUGUCACUUAUAGAUGGAUCCGCGCUGCAUUAGCUAGUUGGUAAGGUAACGGCUUACCAAGGCAACGAUGCAUAGCCGACCUGAGAGGGUGAACGGCGACACUGGAACUGAGACCCGGUCCAGACUCCUACGGGAGGCAGCCGUAGGGAAUCUUCCGCAAUGGGCGAAAGCCUGACGGAGCAACGCCGCGUGAGUGAUGAAGGUCGUCGGAUCGUAAAACUCUGUUAUUAGGGAAGAACAUAUGUGUAAGUAACUGUGCACAUCUUGACGGUACCUAAUCAGAAAGCCACGGCUAACUACGUG
This 497-nucleotide ribosomal RNA is filed under the name uncultured bacterium. RNAcentral's name for it is "partial 16S ribosomal RNA". It matches the Rfam family "Bacterial small subunit ribosomal RNA", at positions 28 to 507 of the family's 1533-position model. The record is from RNAcentral.